Molecule: long non-coding RNA, 559 nt
Organism: Hyaena hyaena (striped hyena)
Lineage: Eukaryota; Metazoa; Chordata; Mammalia; Carnivora; Hyaenidae
Exons: 3
Source: RefSeq, a predicted model, not a curated record
CUGAACUAUAUAAAUUAAGUUCCAUUAAUUAGAUGUACUCAUGAGAGAUUUAAAAGGCAGAAGAGAGUCUGGAGUCACCUUCCUGAUGCUUCGGCUAUGUUCUGCUGAAAAGCAAUGUCAAGGCCAUGUGGACCUCUACAGCAGCAUUCCAGUGUUCAAUUUCCAGAUCCACAAGUGCCGAGCAGAACUUGUGGCAGAAGAGCGACAUGUGAUAUUACUGAAAGUCUGAACUGCUCCACAGUGUCACAGAGAAAACACCCAGAGCCUGCAGGGAGGUUAUCACACAUCAAAGCUGAAUCAGCCCAUCAGCAGUACCAAAGGGUGCGGUGAGGAGGAGAAACUGCAAAAUGAGCCUGGAUCUAGGAACAGCAUGUAUUCAGCACAGAGCCUUAACUCAGAAUUGGUUACUGCCUGUUGAAACGGAAGAGCCCUAAUCAGUACAGCUCCUCAUUGCCUACAGAAUGAACCAUGACAACUUCUCAUCCUGGGUUCUCCACAUUGUGUUUAUAUCUCACUUGCUGGUCCUUGCCUAACUAAACAUAAGCCUCUCUGUGACGAU